This 68-nucleotide transfer RNA is filed under the name pig gut metagenome. It matches the Rfam family "tRNA". From Rfam's summary of the family: Transfer RNA (tRNA) molecules are approximately 80 nucleotides in length. Their secondary structure includes four short double-helical elements and three loops (D, anti-codon, and T loops). The record is from RNAcentral.
GAAGCAUAGUUUAAAGGUUAGAAUACUGGUCUCCAAAACCAUAGGUGGAGGUUCAAUUCCUCCUGCUU